RNAcentral lists this ribosomal RNA (225 nucleotides) under uncultured bacterium. RNAcentral's name for it is "partial 16S ribosomal RNA". It matches the Rfam family "Bacterial small subunit ribosomal RNA", at positions 524 to 745 of the family's 1533-position model. The record is from RNAcentral.
UACGUAGGGUGCGAGCGUUGUCCGGAAUUAUUGGGCGUAAAGAGCUUGUAGGCGGUUUGUCGCGUCUGCUGUGAAAAAUCCGGGGCUCAACCCCGGACUUGCAGUGGGUACGGGCAGACUAGAGUGUGGUAGGGGGAGACUGGAAUUCCCUGGUGUAGCGGUGGAAUGCGCAGAUAUCAGGAGGAACACCGAUGGCGAAGGCAGGUCUCUGGGCCACUACUGACG